Talpa occidentalis (Iberian mole) is the source of this 164-nucleotide small nuclear RNA. RefSeq annotates it as U1 spliceosomal RNA. NCBI's taxonomy places the organism in Eukaryota, Metazoa, Chordata, Mammalia, Eulipotyphla, Talpidae. The transcript has a single exon. The record is from RefSeq and is a predicted model, not a curated record.
CUACUUGCCUGGCAGGGGAACCAGCAGGAUCACAAAGGUGGUUUCCCAGGGCAAGGCUAUAUCCCAUUGCACCUCGGGAAUUCUGACCACCGUGAUUUCCCUAAAUUCGGGAAACUCCACCGCAUAAUUUGUGGUAGUGGGAACUAUAUUUGUGCUCUCCCCUG